GAUGAACGCUGGCGGCGUGCCUAAUACAUGCAAGUCGAGCGAACAGACGAGGAGCUUGCUCCUCUGACGUUAGCGGCGGACGGGUGAGUAACACGUGGAUAACCUACCUAUAAGACUGGGAUAACUUCGGGAAACCGGAGCUAAUACCGGAUAAUAUAUUGAACCGCAUGGUUCAAUAGUGAAAGACGGUUUUGCUGUCACUUAUAGAUGGAUCCGCGCCGCAUUAGCUAGUUGGUAAGGUAACGGCUUACCAAGGCAACGAUGCGUAGCCGACCUGAGAGGGUGAUCGGCCACACUGGAACUGAGACACGGUCCAGACUCCUACGGGAGGCAGCAGUAGGGAAUCUUCCGCAAUGGGCGAAAGCCUGACGGAGCAACGCCGCGUGAGUGAUGAAGGUCUUCGGAUCGUAAAACUCUGUUAGUAGGGAAGAACAACUGUGUAAGUAACUAUGCACGUCUUGACGGUACCUAAUCAGAAAGCCACGGCUAACUACGUG
RNAcentral lists this ribosomal RNA (497 nucleotides) under uncultured bacterium. RNAcentral describes it as "partial 16S ribosomal RNA". It matches the Rfam family "Bacterial small subunit ribosomal RNA", at positions 28 to 507 of the family's 1533-position model. The record is from RNAcentral.